This 30-nucleotide non-coding RNA is filed under the name Rattus norvegicus (Norway rat). Lineage: Eukaryota; Metazoa; Chordata; Mammalia; Rodentia; Muridae. The record is from RNAcentral.
UGCUAAGUGCUCACUGACCUCCUGUCCCCU